AUGGCUAAGCGUUUGAUUCCAACUUUCAACCGCAUCCUCGUCGAGAAAAUCGUCCCUCCUUCCAAAACCUCCGCCGGGAUCCUCCUCCCGGAGAAAACCUCUCAGCUUAAUUCGGGAAAGGUUGUUGCUGUUGGACCUGGAUCGAGAGAUAGAUCGGGAAAUUUGAUUCCGGUGUCUGUCAAGGAAGGUGACCACGUUCUGUUGCCGGAGUACGGUGGUUCUCAAAUUAAGCUUAAUGACAAAGAGUUUCAUUUGUUUAGGGAUGAGGACAUUUUGGGGAUUCUGCAUGAUUGA
Non-coding RNA from Vicia faba (fava bean), 294 nucleotides. The record is from the annotation of a GenBank genome assembly. NCBI's taxonomy places the organism in Eukaryota, Viridiplantae, Streptophyta, Magnoliopsida, Fabales, Fabaceae.